RNAcentral lists this ribosomal RNA (274 nucleotides) under uncultured bacterium. Its description in RNAcentral is "partial 16S ribosomal RNA". It matches the Rfam family "Bacterial small subunit ribosomal RNA", at positions 523 to 796 of the family's 1533-position model. The record is from RNAcentral.
AUACGGAGGGUCCGAGCGUUAAGCGGAAUUACUGGGCGUAAAGCGCGCGUAGGCGGAUAUUUAAGUCAGAUGUGAAAUCCCUGGGCUCAACCUAGGAACUGCAUUUGAAACUGGAUAUCUAGAGUAUGGUAGAGGUGAGUGGAAUUUCAGGUGUAGCGGUGAAAUGCGUAGAGAUCUGAAGGAACAUCAGUGGCGAAGGCGACUCACUGGGCCAUUACUGACGCUGAGGUGCGAAAGCGUGGGUAGCAAACAGGAUUAGAAACCCGAGUAGUCC